UACGUAGGGGGCUAGCGUUGUCCGGAAUCAUUGGGCGUAAAGAGCGCGUAGGCGGCUAGAUAAGUCCGGUGUGAAAGUCACAGGCUCAACCUGUGAAUGCCGCUGGAAACUGUCUGGCUAGAGUCCGGAAGGGGCGAGUGGAAUUCCUGGUGUAGCGGUGAAAUGCGCAGAUAUCAGGAGGAACACCAAUGGCGAAGGCAGCUCGCUGGGACGGUACUGACGCUGAGGCGCGAAAGCUAGGGGAGCAAACAGG
RNAcentral lists this ribosomal RNA (253 nucleotides) under uncultured bacterium. RNAcentral's name for it is "partial 16S ribosomal RNA". It matches the Rfam family "Bacterial small subunit ribosomal RNA", at positions 524 to 776 of the family's 1533-position model. The record is from RNAcentral.